GAGUUGCGAACGGGUGAGUAACGCGUAGGUAACCUGCCUGGUAGCGGGGGAUAACUAUUGGAAACGAUAGCUAAUACCGCAUAAUAGCAGUUGUUGCAUGACAACUGUUUGAAAGGUGCAAUUGCACCACUACCAGAUGGACCUGCGUUGUAUUAGCUAGUAGGUGAGGUAACGGCUCACCUAGGCGACGAUACAUAGCCGACCUGAGAGGGUGAUCGGCCACACUGGGACUGAGACACGGUCCAGACUCC
RNAcentral lists this ribosomal RNA (251 nucleotides) under uncultured Streptococcus sp. RNAcentral's name for it is "partial 16S ribosomal RNA". It matches the Rfam family "Bacterial small subunit ribosomal RNA", at positions 93 to 339 of the family's 1533-position model. Lineage: Bacteria; Bacillati; Bacillota; Bacilli; Lactobacillales; Streptococcaceae. The record is from RNAcentral.